GACGAACGCUGGCGGCGUGCCUAAUACAUGCAAGUCGAACGCAGUGGGGACGGGUGAGUAACACGUGGGUAACCUCCCAUCAGAGGGGAUAACACUUGGAAACAGGUGCUAAACCGAUACUGAUGGAUGGACCCGCGGUGCAUUAGCUAGUUGGUGAGGUAACGGCUCACCAAGGCCACGAUGCAUAGCCGACCUGAGAGGGUGAUCUGCCACACUGAGACUGAGACACGGCCCAGACUCCAACGGGAGGCAGCAGUAGGGAAUCUUCGGGAAUGGAGGAAAGGCUGAACGAGCAAAGGCGCGUGAGUGAUGAAGGUUUUCGGAUCGGAAAACUAAGUUGAUAGAGGAGCGAUACCUAACCAGAAAGCGGCGGCUAACUUCUUGACAGCAGCCGCGGUAAUAC
This 403-nucleotide ribosomal RNA is filed under the name uncultured bacterium. Its description in RNAcentral is "partial 16S ribosomal RNA". It matches the Rfam family "Bacterial small subunit ribosomal RNA", at positions 28 to 526 of the family's 1533-position model. The record is from RNAcentral.